CAAAGCCAUUCCCAACUUCCACAGGUCAACAGUACCACGGUCUGGAUCCCACAUGGCAUGCUUCACAUGAAUAUGAGCUUGUGAUCUCCACCAAAAGGUUCCAACGAGCCUUCUUUCCCUAGGUGAUGAGCUACCAUGAUGAUGGCUCUGCCUUUUGACCCAUUGCUUUCAGAGAAAACUUGACCCGCUGUUUUCAAAGGCCAC
RNAcentral lists this long non-coding RNA (204 nucleotides) under Elaeis guineensis (African oil palm). Its description in RNAcentral is "long non-coding RNA (EGUI_LNC021382)". The record is from RNAcentral. Lineage: Eukaryota; Viridiplantae; Streptophyta; Magnoliopsida; Arecales; Arecaceae.